CGUGACGCCCUCCUGGAGCACCGCGACAACCCCGAUGUCGCCUACAGCCUGUGGCACGAGUACGAACUGUGAGCGGCUGCGCCAAGGGAGCAGAGAAACAAUUCCCGACACCCCCAGACCCUUUUGCAGGGACCCCGGGUGGAUUAAAGCUGGUGUGAGCGAAGGAAGGGGUGCCGUGUGCUGUCUGGGGGGCACGGGGUGGGGUGAAGCCCUUGGGGUGCAGGGGGAGGGCAGGGAGUUGCAUUCCCCCCAAAAAAAAGCCAGGUGGGGUGUCCAUCUCACAGUUUGAUGUCACUUAGCUGGGACUCAGGGAGAAAAAUGUGUUCUUGGGUGGAGAAAGGGAGGUGGGAUUUUUUCCCCCAGGAAUGGGGUGAAAAAAUGAAGAAUGAGGUAUAAAAUCAGCUGAAAGUGAGCUCAGGUGGCUGACGAUGGUGGGGAUGUCCUGCAGCGAGGUGGGAAGAGUGUCCUGUGGGAUUCAUAUGUUUAAUAGCCCAAAUCAGCAGCUUUGCUGUGUGCAGAAUCAAAAAUAACAGGAUGUGUCUGUUAAUUAUUCAGGUUAUCAAUGACUUAAUUCACCAGCUCUUUCUGUUGUUUCAUCAAUAAAAUAAAUUGUUUCUCUCUGUG
Non-coding RNA from Zonotrichia albicollis (white-throated sparrow), 624 nucleotides. NCBI's taxonomy places the organism in Eukaryota, Metazoa, Chordata, Aves, Passeriformes, Passerellidae. The record is from RefSeq and is a predicted model, not a curated record.